UGGGGAAUAAAGGAAGCGACUGCUACUUAAAACCAUCGCGAACUCGUCCAAGUUGCUUCGGCGGCGCGGGACCCCUCGGGGGACCGCAGCGCCGCUUCCCCCCCGGGGGUUGCGGGGCGCCCGCCGGAGGUCACAAACUCUCAUGUAUUAUAGUGGAUCUCUGAGUAAAAAACAAAUAAGUUAAAACUUUCAACAACGGAUCUCUUGGUUCUGGCAUCGAUGAAGAACGCAGCGAAAUGCGAUAAGUAAUGUGAAUUGCAGAAUUCAGUGAAUCAUCGAAUCUUUGAACGCACAUUGCGCCCGCUAGUACUCUAGCGGGCAUGCCUGUUCGAGCGUCAUUUCAACCCUCAAGCCCUGCUUGGUGUUGGGGCCCUACGGCUGCCGUAGGCCCUGAAAGGAAGUGGCGGGCUCGCUACAACUCCGAGCGUAGUAAUUCAUUAUCUCGCUUAGGGUGUUGUGCGGUGCUCCAGCCGUUAAAGACCAUCUUUAACUCAAGGUUGACCUCGGAUCAGGUAGGAAUACCCGCUGAACUUAAGCAUAUCAAUAAGCCGGAGGAA
RNAcentral lists this ribosomal RNA (557 nucleotides) under Aureobasidium pullulans. Its description in RNAcentral is "eukaryotic LSU rRNA". The stretch from base 185 to 338 matches the Rfam family "5.8S ribosomal RNA". The record is from RNAcentral. Lineage: Eukaryota; Fungi; Ascomycota; Dothideomycetes; Dothideales; Saccotheciaceae.